This 345-nucleotide ribosomal RNA is filed under the name Labena grallator. RNAcentral describes it as "partial 12S ribosomal RNA". The record is from RNAcentral. Lineage: Eukaryota; Metazoa; Arthropoda; Insecta; Hymenoptera; Ichneumonidae.
AUAAUUUAAAAUGAAACAAUGAGGUAUUAAUUGAUAAAUCAUUAAACUUAAAAAAAAUGGCGGUUUUUUAUUCUUAUUAGAGGAAUUUGUUUAUUAAUUUGAUAAUCCACGAUAGGAUGUACUUUAAAGAGAAGUUUAUAUAUUGUCGUUUAAAAAAUUUUUUAAGGAAUUUUUUUUGAAUUAUAUUAUUAUAAAAAAUUCAGAUCAAAAUGUAGCUUUUUUAAAGAUAAAAUGAAUUACAAUAAUAUUAAUAUUAUACGAAUUAAAUGAUUUAAAUCAUUUAUGAAGGUGGAUUUAAAAGUAAAAUUAAUUAAUUAAUUAAUUUGAAUAAGUUUUAAAAAAUGU